AUGGAGAGAGAAGGUGUUGCUCCUGAUGCAGUGACCUAUAACACAUCCAUUGAUGGUUGUGGGCAUAUGGGAUAUAUUAACCGCACAUUUGAUACUCUGAAGCGCAUGAUGGAUGCAUCAUGUGAGCCAGAUUACGGGACCUAUUGUAUUCUUCUCAAGCAUCUUCUGAAAGGGAAUCUUAAUGUCAGUUAUGUAGAUGCUUCCGCCUUGUGGAACUUGAUAGAGUUGGAUACUUUCUGGCAGUUUCUUGAAAGAAUGUCACAAUAUUGUUUAAAUCCCACUAUGAAGACAUACAGUUCUCUCAUUGCAGGAUUUUGCAAAGCCAGCCGUAUUAAAGAAGCUUGUGUUCUUCUUGAUCAUAUGCGUCGAAAAGAUAUAACACCCAAUGAAGAGAUAUAUAUGUCGCUUAUCAAGUGCUGUUGUGAUAGAAAGUUCUUUGAGAAGGCCUUGUUGUUUAUUAACAACAUGAUAGAAUGCGGCUUUCAGCCUCAUCUUGACUUGUACCAGCUUCUUAUACCGGGACUUUGCAACGAGGGAGAAUUUGAGAAGGCUAAAUCGCUGUUCAGCGACUUGCUUGAACUGCGCUAUAAUCAUGAUGAAGUUGCAUGGAAAAUUCUAAUUGAUGGUUUGCUAAAAGUUGGUCAUGUUGGUAUAUGUUCCCAGAUGCUGUCUACCAUGGAGAAUACACAGUGUUGCAUUAGUUCUCAGACAUACGCUAUGCUUACCAAUGGCAUGCAUGAGGCAUCUGGCAGUCUGGUUGGUGCACUCCAAGGAGAAGCUAAUUGA
This 786-nucleotide ribosomal RNA is filed under the name Triticum aestivum (bread wheat). RNAcentral describes it as "partial small subunit ribosomal RNA". The record is from RNAcentral. Lineage: Eukaryota; Viridiplantae; Streptophyta; Magnoliopsida; Poales; Poaceae.